GGCGAGAUGGCCGAGCGGUCUAAGGCGCCAGACUAAGGUGACACACAAUCUGGUCCGAAAGGGCGGGGGUUCGAAUCCCCCUCUCGUCA
Molecule: non-coding RNA, 89 nt
Organism: Epithele typhae
Lineage: Eukaryota; Fungi; Basidiomycota; Agaricomycetes; Polyporales; Epitheliaceae
Source: the annotation of a RefSeq genome assembly